UUGACAUUCAACUGGGUGUACUGGGUACCUCCUCUAUGCCUGGCACUAUUGGGGGUGAACAACUAAUUUCAGGUUGUGAGAAGCUAAUGUUUAUGGAGCGCUUACAACGCACUGACACUGUUCUGAGUGGUGGCACGGAUUGACUCGUUUAAUCCUCCCAGCCCUCUGUGAGGCAGGAAACCACUAAUAUCCCCAUUUUGUAGGUGACGAGACUGUUUCAUUGCUCUAUUGUUGCAUAGCAAUCCACCCCAAAAUUUAGCAGCUUGAAAGCAAUUAUUUUAUUCUGUCACAAUUCGGGGCUCAGCAGGGACAGCUCGUCUCUGCUGCAUGUGCCAGUGUUAGCUGGGCUUCUGGCUGAGGCUGGAGAGUCAAGAUGGCCUUGUCAUAUACCUGGGGCCUUGGGGCUGGCUGUCAGCUGGGGCGCCUCAGUCGUCCUUUGUGUGACCUCUCUCCAGCAGGAUAGCCAGGACUUCUUAUAUGACCAGCUUCCCAGAGUGCAAACACAGAAGCUGCAAGUGACGUAGCACCAUCAUGUCCAUCACAUUCAAUUGAUGAGGAAAUUGUGGCUCUGAGAGGUUGAAGCUCCAGGAUCUCUUAGCAAAGCAAAUGGCUAAGGCAGACGGUAAGAGGUGAAGCUGGCCAGGUGCAGAUGACCCCCUGAGGCUGGACAGAAUUCAAAGCAGCAUAGACAAACAGCAGACAAGACCCGCAGCUCCCAGGCCCUGUCCUUGCCAGAUGUUGGUGGCUCACCGUCCCCAACUGGCCUGACCCAGCAAGAGAUGCCACCCCAGCCUUCCAGGGACCUGAAGGUAGCCCAAAUGGCAGCACAGGAAGACAACCCCUGAGAUUAUGAGACCCAAGUAAAUCUUGGUGAUCCCCAAAGGCCUCUGUGGGGACUUCACUUUCUACCUCUAGCCUGAGGCAGUCAAUAUUUCCCGGGUUUACACCUCCAGCCCACAUCUCCAGAGCUCCAGACUCGCAGGUCAGAGGUGGCACUGUUUACCUGCCAAGGUGGUGGUACAAGCCUAAAGCAAAGACAGAUGGAGCAAGACUAGACCAACUCUGAGUGGUGGGCACAAGCUUGGGGCUGUUCCUUCACAGGAGCAGCUGAAUCUCCCAAGUCAGGGACGAGGGAGGCAGCUAGCCUCCCACACAGUGUCUCAAAGCUGCCAUCAGAGAGAGCACACUCUGGGUAGAAUGUGGCUCUGUGAUCUCUGUCUUCUAAUUCACUCUAAAUAGUAGGGACUGCUUCUUCCAGCAUCGCACUCCCUGUGCCCCUAGAACACGGGGAGCUCAACCCUGCUAUAUGUGAGAAAUACAAGGGAGCGUUUACAAACUACUGCUGUCGAGACCCAGUACAUUCUGAUGCAAUGGUCUGGGGUAGGUCUCAGGCAUGUGAUGUGAUAUAUAUCUGCUCCCUCACACUUUCCUGGUCAUCUGAUGAGUAGGUACAGCUGCAAACCAGGGUGGCUCUUUCUGGGGUAUCUGACCCAAGCCCACCAGCUCCUGAUCCCCCAACCUGGGUCAGCCUCAGGUCCACCCAGCAAAGCCGCUGACCAGGGAGCUGAGGGGUCUAACUGGCCAGUAAGGGUGAUCCCUGGCCUGGGAGUCAGAAUCCUGACUCCCACCUGGCUCUGCCCUGAAUUACCAGGACCCCGUAACUCAGUGCUCCUAAUUUCCUACAACCCCAAUUUCUUCAACCACCAACUCAGGAGGCAGAGAAGUUUUAUAAAGACCAACGAGAUUGUUUACCCAGAGUAAUGCUGCUAAACAAAUACUCUGCACCCACCAUGCUAGGUGCUGAAGGCAUGUUAUUUCCUUUGGUUCUACUACUCUGCCCACUUUAAAGCUGAGAGAAUUGAGGCUCAGAGAAGCUAACUCACUUGACCAGGGUCCCACAACCACUAACUACAUGAGGGAGCUGGAAUACAAUUCCAGAGCUUGCAUGCCUAAGCACCACCUUUGGUUUACACACCAGAGGAAUAUGAAGGGACUUAUUGCUGGCUGUCUUUUCCCGGAGGUCAAGGCUAAAGCUGGCAAGACAUACUCUGGGAGGAUGGUUCAGGUCGUGCAGAGAAGUGCCCUUGGCACACUCCUUGAUGUUGGUGUGGCAGCGUUGGUUUCCCCACCCUCCAUCGUGGGCUGCCAAGGAGUGGCUGCAAAGCUUUCUUCUUCAUUUAGUAAGAGCACAAGAUGGUGGUUGGCCCAAAGAUGAGGUGACAUUAGCCAGCUGAGAGAGAACAGCAGCCUUCUCUGCCCAGCUGGAAGGAAAGAAAAAACAAAGGAGCAUGGCAGAGUGAACUGUGGGCCUGUCUCCAACUCUGAAAGCUAGUAGCCUGCAGGUUCAGAUCUCCCUGCAUCCCGCCGCUCCACUUUUCACCUUCUUUUGAGCAAACCCAGAAGAGGAAUUCGAGCAUAGGAGAGAGUGGAAGAUGAGGUUAGUGUCAUGAGGGAGUGAAGGUAGAAGCAACCUGAAUCCGAAAACUGGGGUGUGGUAACUGGAAUUGGCAAGUCCAAGAAGAGCUAAGAGGCCAAGUGGGAAAGGUCAGAGACAUGGCUUUGUAAGUGUGUGUCAUUUGUUGACUUAAUGGAACUUGAACUUAAAAGAUGAGAGUUCAAGAGGUUAUUGGUUGCCUCUGAGGUAUUUUGCCUGAAUUGAGGGUAAGCUGCCACCCGUGGGACUUUUUGUUGUGGUGUUUGAACAGUCUGAUUGCAGUCAGAGCGUGGAUAACCACAGAAUUAGCAUCCCUUGCCUCUCAUCAUCUUUAUUAAACAUACACAUACAAACACACAAACACACACCAACCUCUUAAGUUAAAAGAAAACCAAAUUUGAAAAACAAUAAUGUUAUAAGAUGGAAUAGAGAGAGACAAGUUUCUGGGUUCCCCAUGGCUCCCUCUUCGCUAAGGCCAGACGCGAUGGUUCUUGCUCUUCUCCCUCUCUGAUGAUCUCAGUGGGGGAGAGAAAACCUUGCCUUUUUGUCUCACCUGCUUGAUUUAAUGACUGACUACACUCCUCCCUCCUCUAAGAGAGGCUCAGCUCAAGUUGCACUUGGAAUGCCAUGCCUGUCUUCCAAUCCAGGGCUCUGUCUGCUGCACAUUGCCGGAGGGCUGGAACGGGCAAUGUGGGCUAGGUUUGAAGGUCGAGGAGAGAAGCCGCUCACUCACGCUCUGAUGAUGAGGCUUCUCGCUCCAGCACUGACGCGGGGUUCACUAUGUUAUAGCAGACAUGAAAUGUCAGCAGCAAAGCGCCCUUCUGGAUUUACUUUCCCACUUCCUUCCGACGGGGAAGAAGCAGGUAAGGGAACACAGGAAAAGCUUGCAUAAAGCUUCUUGAUCCAAUCAGGUACACGCCAGAGGAAAUACGUUUCCCAGAGGAAAUAAGAAACCACCAGAUUGAUGCCGAUGAGGUCCAGGUGAGGCAGGGCCAGGAAAACCAGACUCGGAAGGAGCUGGGGUCUUCAAAUCCUGUCAUUCUUUUGAAAUGUUUUCAUUACUGAAAUUUUCAAACGCAUACAAAAGCAGAGAAAAUAGUACAAAGAACCCCCUCGGACCUAUCAGGCAAUUUCAACAAUUAACCGCAUGCUGCCAUCCUUGCUUCAUCAUUUCCUGCCACGUGUUUGGGUUUCUUUCUGGAAUAUUUAAAAGCAAAUUUCAUGUACAUUAAUUCACCUGUAGAUACGUCAGUAUUUAUCUCUAACAGAAACAGAUUUUUAACACAACCAUCAUACCAACAUCACAU
Equus caballus (horse) is the source of this 3741-nucleotide long non-coding RNA. The record is from Ensembl. NCBI's taxonomy places the organism in Eukaryota, Metazoa, Chordata, Mammalia, Perissodactyla, Equidae.